RNAcentral lists this ribosomal RNA (229 nucleotides) under Saxifraga pasumensis. RNAcentral describes it as "5.8S ribosomal RNA". The stretch from base 1 to 151 matches the Rfam family "5.8S ribosomal RNA". Rfam says of the family: 5.8S ribosomal RNA (5.8S rRNA) is a component of the large subunit of the eukaryotic ribosome. It is transcribed by RNA polymerase I as part of the 45S precursor that also contains 18S and 28S rRNA. Functionally, it is thought that 5.8S rRNA may be involved in ribosome translocation. The record is from RNAcentral. Lineage: Eukaryota; Viridiplantae; Streptophyta; Magnoliopsida; Saxifragales; Saxifragaceae.
UCGGCAACGGAUAUCUCGGCUCUUACAUCGAUGAAGAACGUAGCAAAAUGCGAUACUUGGUGUGAAUUGCAGAAUCCCGUGAACCAUCGAGUCUUUGAACGCAAGUUGCGCCCGAACCCCUCGGGUUGAGGGCACGUCUGCCUGGGUGUCACGUACAAACGUCUCCCACAAGMCUUCGUCCUUUGCGGACGGAGGGCUUCGUGCGAGCAGAGAUUGGUUUCCCGUGCUC